This 433-nucleotide ribosomal RNA is filed under the name uncultured bacterium. Its description in RNAcentral is "partial 16S ribosomal RNA". It matches the Rfam family "Bacterial small subunit ribosomal RNA", at positions 29 to 507 of the family's 1533-position model. The record is from RNAcentral.
AACGAACGCUGGCGGCAUGCCUAACACAUGCAAGUCGAACGAGACCUUCGGGUCUAGUGGCGCACGGGUUCGUAACGCGUGGGAACCUUCCCUUAGGUUCGGAAUAACUCCCCGAAAGGGGUGCUAAUACCGGAUAAUGUCUUCGGACCAAAGAUUUAUCGCCUUUGGAUGGGCCCGCGUUGGAUUAGCUAGUUGUUAGGGUAAAAGCCUACCAAGGCGACGAUCCAUAGCUGGUCUGAGAGGAUGAUCAGCCACACUGGGACUGAGACACGGCCCAGAAUACUACGGGAGGCAGCAGUGGGGAAUAUUGGACAAUGGGCGAAAGCCUGAUCCAGCAAUGCCGCGUGAGUGAUGAAGGCCUUAGGGUUGUAAAGCUCUUUUACCCGGGAUGAUAAUGACAGUACCGGGAGAAUAAGCUCCGGCUAACUCCGUG